GACGAACGCUGGCGGCGUGCUUAACACAUGCAAGUCGAACGGAAAGGCCCUGCUUUUGUGGGGUGCUCGAGUGGCGAACGGGUGUGUAACACGUGAGUAACCUGCCCUUGACUUUGGGAUAACUUCAGGAAACUGGGGCUAAUACCGGAUAGGAGCUCCUGCUGCAUGGUGGGGGUUGGAAAGUUUCGGCGGUUGGGGAUGGACUCGCGGCUUAUCAGCUUGUUGGUGGGGUAGUGGCUUACCAAGGCUUUGACGGGUAGCCGGCCUGAGAGGGUGACCGGCCACAUUGGGACUGAGAUACGGCCCAGACUCAUACGGGAGGCAGCAGUGGGGAAUAUUGCACAAGGGGCGGAAGCCUGAUGCAGCAACGCCGCGUGCGGGAUGACGGCCUUCGGGUUGUAAACCGCUUUCGCCUGUGACGAAGCGUGAGUGACGGUAAUGGGUAAAGAAGCACCGGCUAACUACGUG
Molecule: ribosomal RNA, 468 nt
Filed under: uncultured bacterium
Lineage: Bacteria
Description: partial 16S ribosomal RNA
Rfam family: Bacterial small subunit ribosomal RNA
Source: RNAcentral